AUACGUAGGUGGCAAGCGUUGUCCGGAUUUAUUGGGCGUAAAGCGAGCGCAGGCGGUUUCUUAAGUCUGAUGUGAAAGCCCCCGGCUCAACCGGGGAGGGUCGUUGGAAACUGGGAGACUUGAGUGCAGAAGAGGAGAGUGGAAUUCCAUGUGUAGCGGUGAAAUGCGUAGAUAUAUGGAGGAACACCAGUGGCGAAGGCGACUCUCUGGUCUGUAACUGACGCUGAGGCUCGAAAGCGUGGGGAGCAAACAGGAUUAGAUACCCUGGUAGUCCACGCCGUAAACGAUGAGUGCUAAGUGUUGGAGGGUUUCCGCCCUUCAGUGCUGCAGCUAACGCAUUAAGCACUCCGCCUGGGGAGUACGACCGCAAGGUUGAAACUCAAAUGAAUUGACGGGG
This 397-nucleotide ribosomal RNA is filed under the name uncultured bacterium. RNAcentral describes it as "partial 16S ribosomal RNA". It matches the Rfam family "Bacterial small subunit ribosomal RNA", at positions 523 to 918 of the family's 1533-position model. The record is from RNAcentral.